Molecule: non-coding RNA, 21 nt
Filed under: Arabidopsis thaliana (thale cress)
Lineage: Eukaryota; Viridiplantae; Streptophyta; Magnoliopsida; Brassicales; Brassicaceae
Source: RNAcentral
UUGAGAUCCUGAAUGUAUAUU